GGCAAAGUGGCCGAGUGGUUAUGGCGACGGAUUCAAGAGGCAUUCAAUAUGUUCUUGAGAUUGUUUUCAGCAGUUUCCCGUUCACGAAAGUGGCAGGGGUUCGAAUCCCCUCUUUGUCA
This is a non-coding RNA of Cladobotryum mycophilum, 119 nucleotides long. Lineage: Eukaryota; Fungi; Ascomycota; Sordariomycetes; Hypocreales; Hypocreaceae. The record is from the annotation of a GenBank genome assembly.